AAUUACUUCCAAGCUUUGUUUUCCUCUGUCAACAUAAUCACCUAGAAACAGAUAGUUGGCUUCUGGAGGGAAUCCUCCGUACUCAAAAAGUCGAAGAAGAUCGUAAUAUUGGCCAUGAAUAUCUCCACAAAUUUUCAAAGGAGCUUCAAGCUCUAGAAGGAUAGGUUGACUAAUAAAUAUUUCACGUGCUUUGUUACAUAAAAAUCGUAUUUCAUCUUCAGAUAAUUGAACCUGUCUACCUGGACGACUACCACGGACUAAAAGAAGUUAGUAAAUAGCUAAAUGGUUUAAAUGGUAAAAUUAA
This is a non-coding RNA of Schizosaccharomyces pombe (fission yeast), 304 nucleotides long. NCBI's taxonomy places the organism in Eukaryota, Fungi, Ascomycota, Schizosaccharomycetes, Schizosaccharomycetales, Schizosaccharomycetaceae. The record is from the annotation of a GenBank genome assembly.